GAAGUCAACCUCUACUUGCCUGGUUUGGUGUCCCCUUCCCCCAGUUCUGCUUCUGGACUUUCAUGCCCUGGUCCUUUUCUCCCCUGAUUCUACCUGCUUUUGCUCCAGUCUUCAAGAUCCAAGUCUCCAAGGUUAAGGAUGGAUUGAGCAUUGCUGGGCCUACCCCAAGGGACAGUGUGGCGGUGGAUCAUGUGACUUUUGCCAUAAAGUAAACCCAUAGAGAAUGAUAGAGGACUCUAGUGCCCAAAAGCCUAUUUUAGCAUGGGCAGCACCAUUGUAGUCAACUGGGUGGGACUUUCUAUGGAUUAAGGAAGGAUCACAUAAUUCCAUCCAGCUCAUCAGGAGUAAUCAGCUGAGGAAUUAUACUUGUGAGCAAAAUUCCCAUAACUGCAGGUGGCAGUAAAUCUCCAACCUUGGCUUUAUACCUGUUCAAACACUCCAUGUGGCAGUAUACACCUUUUCAGCUUGUUUACCAACUAAUCGAAGUAGAAGGAAAUUGACUACUUCAAAAUGGAGAUGGCCUCAAUGGCACUGCUCGUGUACACAGACGCUGUAAGGGGAGAGAUAAGAGUUCUCUAUCUUUCUCUGAGUAAACCAGACCUAGACACUGUAUCACCUGGAACAUCAGAGACUGAUGAAUACGGUCUACAAAGAUCUCAUCUCAGCCUGCUAUAAUGAUUUAAGACUGAAGUCAGCUAUUCAUUACUUAUUUUAAUAAAUAGUUGUAGUUUCCACAUUCAUUUAGUGGUUAAAAUGUAAUCAAUGUAUUGUAGAAGGUCUGAAUGUGCUCCAGCAAUAUGUGCAAGGGUUUUAGAAGCCACGCCCUUGUCUCUUUCCAUUAAAGGUCAGGUUCCACUCAACAAUGUCCAUAGCAACAAUUUUAGGUAUGAAAAGGUUGAAGUGUAACAACAUAACACAUUCUCUCAUCUUGUACUGCUGUAUCACAUAAGUCAUUACUGUUCAAACCAUUUUAAUUAGUUAUUUUCUUCCCUGUGUGUGGGAUGUGUUGCCUGUGAUCGGUGAGUUGCCUGUGUCCACUCCUCUCUGACAGGACACAUUUUGGUUCAAACAAAACUUUAUUAACAUAUUGUUUAAUCAAAACAGGUACUGAACAUAGGUCAUCAAUAAAAGGGUAUUUUGAUCAAAAAAUGCUGUAGUACAUUAACCAUUACUGGAAAUAUCGCUGAUGACUUUGCUGCUUCAGUACAUGCAGUUGCACAUAAAACCAAAGCCUUUCUCAAGUUUAACAGAGCAUAAACUAAAUGGAUGCGUUUGUAGCAGUGGAAUACGGGUACAGUUUUACAAUAUGAUUGAGGUAACCGAAGAGAAACAAAUCACACAUUGAGGGAAUAUGGUUAUUGAUAGACAGAACAAUGUGAGUCUCAUGAAAGUGAUAUGUUGUAUAAGCUGCAAGUCUGUUAUAUUGCUUUUCUUUGGCAGUGCCAUCUCAAUUUCACAUCCACGGAAGUUGUAGAUACUUAAUACUUAAAAAAAUUAAAAUAAACAUUGUAUUGAGUUUAUUUUUUCAGUAGAUUCAACAUAACACAAUACAAGGUACCA
Coregonus clupeaformis (lake whitefish) is the source of this 1560-nucleotide long non-coding RNA. RefSeq lists it as uncharacterized. The record is from RefSeq and is a predicted model, not a curated record. NCBI's taxonomy places the organism in Eukaryota, Metazoa, Chordata, Actinopteri, Salmoniformes, Salmonidae. The transcript is spliced from 2 exons.